GCUGAGAUACAUGUCACUGUUGG
RNAcentral lists this non-coding RNA (23 nucleotides) under Cricetulus griseus (Chinese hamster). Lineage: Eukaryota; Metazoa; Chordata; Mammalia; Rodentia; Cricetidae. The record is from RNAcentral.